AUACGGAGGGUGCAAGCGUUAUUCGGAAUCACUGGGCGUAAAGGACGCGCAGGCGGGUUGGCAAGUCAGAUGUGAAAUCCUACAGCUUAACUGUAGAACUGCAUUUGAAACUGCUAACCUAGAGUAUGGGAGGGGGAGAUGGAAUUAGUGGUGUAGGGGUAAAAUCCGUAGAUAUCACUAGGAAUACCGAAAGCGAAGGCGAUCUCCUGGAACAUAACUGACGCUAAGGCGUGAAAGCGUGGGGAGCAAACAGGAUUAGAAACCCCUGUAGUCC
Molecule: ribosomal RNA, 274 nt
Filed under: uncultured bacterium
Lineage: Bacteria
Description: partial 16S ribosomal RNA
Rfam family: Bacterial small subunit ribosomal RNA
Source: RNAcentral